GUGUGGGUUAUGUAUGUACUCACGUGAAUGGGUGUGGGUGCACACGCAUGUGUGUGCAAGUGUAGCUCAGAGGUCAGUACUAGAUGUCUUUCCCUACCUUAUAUUUUGGGACAAGGUCUCUCACUGAAGCUGGAGUUCAUUGGUUUGGUUAGACUGGCCGGCCAAUGAGCCCCAAGGCUCCUCAUGUCUCUGCUUCCCUGGUGUGGUAGCUGGAAUGUAACCGGGCCCCAUAAUCUCAUAGGGAAUGUGGCUUGUUGGAGUGGGUGUGGUCUUGCUGAAGGAAGCGUGUCACUGUGGGGGCGGGCUUUGGUCUCUCUUUUGUUUAAGCUCCCAUCAGUGUCACAUUGGACUUCCUGUUGCCUGCAAGAUGCAGAUCUCUCAGCUGCUUCUCCAGCUCCACAUCAGCCUGCACGCUGCCAUGCUCCCCUUCAUGAUGAUGAUGGAAUUGAACCUCUGAAAGUACAGUCGAAGGUGGCCAGAGAUCUCCAGUCCCAGCAGUGUCAACGGAAACCACUUAGGUAGGAUGUGCAGAUUCCCGAGACUCCCUUUGCUCAACAAGGAGACCAAAGCUCAACACUCUUCAGCGAACCAGCGGAGUCUUUGUUCUUCUGGGAGUUAAAGGGUCUCUUUGUGCAGCCCUGACUUGUCUGGAACUCAUGCGGUAGACCAGACUGGCCUGGAGCUUACAGAGACCCGCCUACUUCUGCCUCUCAGAUGCUGGGAUUAAAGAUGCGUGCUUCCACACCCUGCUCACGUCUGCGUCACCGCAAGGUCCUAAGAGAACUACUGUCAAGCCAUCCCGGCCUCCGACUCACACACACACAGCUCUAGGAAACAGACCCGGCACGGUUCAGAAAGUCUUUUCAACUAAACGCUCCUGGGUUCCCAAGGGCCUGCUCUCCCGUGUUGUCCAGUUUCAUCUUUCAUUUCAGAACAACGGUUUAGCUCCCACUCAUCAGUCUUCCCUGUGGCUCCCUGAUCUUCCAGCCUUUAGGAUCAAGCUACCACCUUGAAGGUCCCCCAGGCUCAGUACCGAGAGAGAUGUGGGAAACACACCAGCUGUCAGAGGAUUUUCUCCAGGAUAGGCUUUUGGAUUUAAUUUAACUCUUUGCUGUGGAGGAUGGCAAUCUGGGGGCUUUGCACACGCCAGGCAAACGUUCUACCACUGAGAUACAUCCCGCGCUUCCCCAGCGUAAUUUUAAGAUUCCAAGGAGUAAAAGUCAAUCGUUUUACACUGAAAAACCAAACAAGCGGAAUCAGACUCCCAGAAGUCUCACCUUUGCCAUGCUUCUGACAUGGUUUCCCACUGGCCUGGGACUUAUCAAACAAGCUAGAAUGGCUACCUGGUGAGCUCCAAGGGUAUGCUUGUCGCCACCUCCUUGAGAUUACAAGCUCAUGCUGCUCUGCCCAACUUGCAAGGCAGGUAACCUGAACCCAAUAGGUCCAGAACUCCUCUUCCUGAAGAUACCCCCAGGACACAGAAACCAGCAACAUGCUUCUUCCUACUGGACUUCCUUUACAGUUAGCACUCAGUUUUAAAGAACAAAUUGGAAAUCUAGGCAUGGUUAUUUAUGCUGUGAUCUCAGCCCAUGGGAGUCGGAGGCAGGAGGAUUGUCGUGAAUUCAUGACCAGCCUGGUCUACACAGUAGGUGUAGUUUUUGUGUAAUGCUUCCAAGGCCUUCUCUCUCAUCCUGGCUCCGUGGACCUGUAGCUCCCAUGUAGGACCUGGCUGCUCACCUCGCCUGCCCUAUGAAGGUGGCCUCUCUCCCACCUCGACUGCCAUGGGAAGGCGGAAAGCCCAGCCUCUGACUAAGCUCAUUUUAUGAGGGCUGUUCUUGUUGGGCCAGGUGACCUUUAAGACUUGAGUAUGGUGCGAGUUUGCUUACUGCUCAAGAGGAAGUGCACACUCAGCUUUUAAUUCUCUGGAAGAACACACUGGGCUAUGGGGUUGGUUCCUACUGAUACUUCAUACAUUCAAAGAAGCCAAAAGCGCAAAGUGACACCAAAUUGAAGACCCGAGACUGACUCCAGCACUUGUCCUUCAUUGUCUCUGGGUCAAUAUGGCCACACAGUUUGGUAAACGUCAGCUCUGACUGUGCCCGUGACCACACUGCUGUCGCCUCCUAGGACCGUUCCAUCUUCAGAAGGCGAAGACUACGCUGCUCUCUCUUCUCCUUUGCUGACUCUCACUCAUACUCCAGGCCCUGUGCCGGCCACUCUGUCCACUGCUUGACAUGUGUGGUGGUUGCCCUCUCCGCUGAAGGAAUCAGGGCUUCGGCUGACAGUGGCACUGUCAGGACCAACUGGCCAUGUUAACAGACAUGGGUCAGGCAGCAGGUGCUGGUCUUGGUCAGAGCAGGCUCUCUGCUCUGGGGGGACGCGUGGGAGGGUACAGGGUCCGUUCCCCACAUGAAGACAUACUUCUAGAAGCUUCUCUCCCUACUCUUACUCCCAUCAUAAUGGCUCUUCUGGUUAAGCUUCCAUUUCUCAUUCUCUCUUCUCUGUGUAUCCUACUGGGAAACUGCCCAGCUCCCUCUGCCGCCAGGCUCUAGCCCCUACCACACUGGGGACAUUGGCCCCUGCCACACUGGGGACGUUGGCUGACUCAUCAUCGUAAGUACCCAGUCUGCUGUGCUGUAGUUAACACUAGCCCUCAGCAGCACACUUUUCUGACAAGGUUGUUUCUGUGUGCGGUCUCAGACGUGAGGUGUGCUUUGCAUCUUAUACACAAUCUUGUCGGCAUUGGGGGUUAACUGUGGGGUAACAGGACUGAAAGCAGCAGGCCUGGGCUCCCGUUCGCACAGAGCCGGGGACAAGCUGCAGGUCCCGGUUCCUGGCCACGAGUCUAGGCCCCUCUCCUCGGAUCCGGGCCAAGCAAGAAGGCGGCUCUGCGGCCUGCAGCUGGAGAAGGCAGCUCUCCACACGCACCAGGCAGAAGUGCCCGCCACGGGAAACUGCUGGUGGUGCCGCACAUCCACGGGGACUGCCCAUCUCCAGGACACGCUGACUGGGCAAUGCGGGCGUCAACAGCCAACGUGUCCAUUUAGCAAUGCCUGGGCACAAGCUCAGGACCCUCACAGUGCUGCCACGGGCUCCCUAUAGGAGGCAAAGCCUAUGCUGAACACGGGACUGAUACCCUGGUGAUUCUCUAGAUGGGUACCAGCAUUUCCAUGGCAACCCAUUGCACUUCUCCACAUGCUUAGCUGUGAGUGAUGUUACUACUGUCUACUUUUACUAGAACUAUCAGAGAGAGAGGCAGGUAGGGAGGCAGUUUGGUCGAUGGAAAAUGAGGUCAAAGGUCACCAGAAGCUGAAGCUCCUGCUCCCUAAAUGGGAGGCACUUAGCCUUCCCCCCACUGUGUGCUGGCUGCUUGUCCCUCUCCCCUCUUGGCUCUGCAACUGCUGAUGUUCCUAGUCACAGGUCAACCUCCAACACAAAUACCAUCUUCGUAGUGACGUCUUCUGGGUUCUCUAGGCUGUGUGUGCUCCACGCGAGCUAUUUAUGUCUCUGCUAUCACAUUUGUCACAACCUGCCACACUUUCCAGCCGGCCUUGUCCCUGGCUGCCGCCCUCCUGAGGUCUGGGAGUUCUGAGGCAGUGGCUGUGCAUAUCUGUGGAUAGCACUUCAGGUCCAGUGGGGGGCACAAGUUCCCCAGGGACAGAAACACAGACUGUUUCUAAACAGUGCUGAGGAGAAAGAAGGUCUUUAGUUCAUUUAAACAGUGGCUUCCAUGACAGUCAGUGCCUCAGGAAAUGAGCAACGGCUUUAUCCGCUGGUAUACCAGAUCUAUAGGCAGCAGGCAGCCAGUGAUUAAGCUAAGACACCUGUGGCCCGAGUUACAUAGGAAAGGAAAUAGUUACACGGUAAUGACAAUCAUAAAGAGGCACUGUAUACCUGGCUGGCAAUCUGUUCUGGAACCUUCUGCCAGGCUGCCACACUGCAAAAUGGAAUAACCUCCUGACUCUAUGCUAGUUUUACAUUUCCUAAGCAUCAUGUUCUGGGACUGCUUGAUUUUUCAGAGUCAGAGACCAGUCACUGGCAAAAAAUAAGACUUGAGAUCACUCAUAGGAAGAGAUCACCAGUGAGGUGACUUGAGAGAACAUGGCCUGCAAAGGGAGGCAGGGUUAGGAGGUGUGGCCUUGUUGGAGGAAGUGUGUCCCUGUGGGGUGGACUCUGAGGUCUCUUUUGCUCAAGCUUCCCUCAGUGUGACAGGCAGUCAACUUCCUGUUGCCUGCAAGACAUAGAACUCUCAGCUCCAGUACCAUGCCUGCCUGGACCCCACCACAGUCCCCUUCAUGAUCGUAAUGGACUGAACCUCUGUAAGUGAGCCAAACAAAAUUAAAUGUCUUCUUUAUAGGA
This is a long non-coding RNA of Mesocricetus auratus (golden hamster), 4359 nucleotides long. RefSeq lists it as uncharacterized. NCBI's taxonomy places the organism in Eukaryota, Metazoa, Chordata, Mammalia, Rodentia, Cricetidae. The record is from RefSeq and is a predicted model, not a curated record. The transcript has 10 exons.